GCUGAUGCAGAUGUAUAUAAAUAUCAGCUAUGUUGAAACUUUCAUUAAAGGCUCCCACAUAAUAUAGGGGAAAAAAGGAAAGUUGCUGCAAUAUUGCAACAGAAAAGUAACAAUUAUUGCAGUUUGAUCUUUGAAUCUCUCCACCUUCAAUCAUUCUUAUCAGAAUACAACAUGAAGCAGUAUUUCAGCAGCCAAUUAAUAAUUUUCAUCUUCUGUUGUAUUGGAGUGAUACUGUCUGGAGAAAUUUGGGAAGGGAAUCAUGAAAAUUCUGACAAGAACUUACUAUCAUUGAUCACCAGAGCUGCAGUAGCAACACGAGACAAUGCACUUAUGGCACCACCAAGUGGAUAUCAAGGUCGAAUGCCAUCAUAUUAUAUACGAACCCAGAGAGGACUCAAAAGAGAACCAAAUUGGAUAUGGAUGCCAUCCCAUGGUUAUGUUCCUGUCCCAGAGCCUUCCAAUGCUAGAAGUUCUGAAAAUCGUGGAAGUACCAUUCUGAGAUAUGGUUAAAUAUGAAAUCGUCUUGGAAUAACACGAAUCUUUAAGUAACUGCCAACAAUGGAUAACUCUGUAUUUCUCUUGUUUCUUACAAUGACACAUACUUUUUGGAUUUAACAUAGAAAUAAAUUUACAAUAUCUUUAAA
Long non-coding RNA from Octopus sinensis (East Asian common octopus), 644 nucleotides. RefSeq lists it as uncharacterized. Lineage: Eukaryota; Metazoa; Mollusca; Cephalopoda; Octopoda; Octopodidae. The transcript has 2 exons. The record is from RefSeq and is a predicted model, not a curated record.